UACGUUCCCGGGCCUUGUACACACCGCCCGUCAAGCCAUGGAAGCUGGGGGUGCCUGAAGUCGGUGACCGCAAGGAGCUGCCUAGGGUAAAACGUGGUAACUAGGGCU
Molecule: ribosomal RNA, 108 nt
Filed under: uncultured bacterium
Lineage: Bacteria
Description: partial 16S ribosomal RNA
Rfam family: Bacterial small subunit ribosomal RNA
Source: RNAcentral